Long non-coding RNA from Oncorhynchus tshawytscha (Chinook salmon), 889 nucleotides. NCBI's taxonomy places the organism in Eukaryota, Metazoa, Chordata, Actinopteri, Salmoniformes, Salmonidae. The record is from Ensembl.
GGGUUAGAGUGGAGGGGCGGCAGGGUAGCCUAGUGGUUAGAGUGGAGGGGCGGCAGGGUAGCCUAGUGGUUAGAGGGGAGGGGCGGCAGGGUAGCCUAGUGGGUAGAGUGGAGGGGCGGCAGGUAGCCUAGUGGUUAGAGUGGAGGGGUGGCAGGUAGACUAGUGGUUAGAGUGGAGGGGCGGCAGGGUAGUCUAGUGGUUAGAGUGGAGGGGCGGCAGGGUAGACUAGUGGUUAGAGUGGAGGGGCGGCAGGGGAGACUAGUCGUUAGAGUGGAGGGGCAGCAGGGUAGACUAGUGUUUAGAGUGGAGGGGUGGCAGGGUAGCCUGGUGGUUAGAGUGGUGGGCUGGCAGGGUAGACUAGUGGUUAGAGUGGAGGGGCGGCAGGGUAGCCUAGUGGUUAGAGUGUAGGGGCGGCAAGGUAGCCUAGUGGUUAGAGUGGAGGAGCGGCAGGGUCGCCUAGUGGUUAGAGUGGAGGGGCGGCCGGGUAGACUAGUGGUUAGAGGGGAGUGGAGGCAGGGUAGCCUAGUGGGUAGAGUGGAGGGGCGGCAAGUAGCCUAGUGGUUAGAGUGGAGGGGCGGCAGGGUAGCCUAGUGGUUAGAGUGGAGGGGUGGCAGGGUAGCCUAGUGGUUAGAGUGAAGGGGCGGCAGGGUAGCCUAGUGGUUAGAGUGGAGGGGCGGCAGGGUAGUCUAGUGGUUAGAGUGGAGGGGCGGCAGGGUAGCCUAGUGGUUAGAGUGUUGGACUAGUGACCGGAAGGUUGCAAGUUCAAACCCCCGAGCUGACAAGGUACAAAUCUGUCGUUCUGCCCCUGAACAGGCAGUUAACCCACUGUUCCCAGGCCGUCAUUGAAAAUAAGAAUUUGUUCUUAACUGACUUGCCUCGUUAAAUAAAG